This 526-nucleotide ribosomal RNA is filed under the name uncultured Hanseniaspora. RNAcentral's name for it is "eukaryotic LSU rRNA". It matches the Rfam family "Eukaryotic large subunit ribosomal RNA", at positions 62 to 590 of the family's 3401-position model. The record is from RNAcentral. Lineage: Eukaryota; Fungi; Ascomycota; Saccharomycetes; Saccharomycodales; Saccharomycodaceae.
AAACCAACUGGGAUUACCUUAGUAACGGCGAGUGAAGCGGUAAAAGCUCAAAUUUGAAAUCUGGUACUUUCAGUGCCCGAGUUGUAAUUUGUAGAAUUUGUCUUUGAUUAGGUCCUUGUCUAUGUUCCUUGGAACAGGACGUCAUAGAGGGUGAGAAUCCCGUUUGGCGAGGAUACCUUUUCUCUGUAAGACUUUUUCGAAGAGUCGAGUUGUUUGGGAAUGCAGCUCAAAGUGGGUGGUAAAUUCCAUCUAAAGCUAAAUAUUGGCGAGAGACCGAUAGCGAACAAGUACAGUGAUGGAAAGAUGAAAAGAACUUUGAAAAGAGAGUGAAAAAGUACGUGAAAUUGUUGAAAGGGAAGGGCAUUUGAUCAGACAUGGUGUUUUUGCAUGCACUCGCCUCUCGUGGGCUUGGGCCUCUCAAAAAUUUCACUGGGCCAACAUCAAUUCUGGCAGCAGGAUAAAUCAUUAAGAAUGUAGCUACUUCGGUAGUGUUAUAGCUUUUUGGAAUACUGUUAGCCGGGAUUGG